AUGAAGAACCUGAGGCUCACCUUGCUUAUGUGAUUUGAGCAGGUUCAUGCAUCUUUCUGAUAUUCCAGCAAUACUGGAACAUUAACAGUUGAUAAUAGCUCCAUGUGCUACCUCUCCAAGAAACAAAUUUGCAUUUUAACCUGCACCUUCAAUGGCUGAACUUCAAAGGGUCACUGAUGAAUGCCACUGCAGAGAAAACCACAAAUUGGAGGAGCAGAGCUGUGCCUUUGGCCACUUCCUGGCACUGCAGAGGAACAUCUUGCCUCUGGUCUCCAGUGGGUGAUGUUCCUCUUCUGCCACAGGCCCCGGCAAUGUUGAUGUGAUUGCCAUCAGAGCUCAGAAGUACAGAGCAGAAUCAUCUCCUGGAGGAGAAUUCCCUUCGGUGUAAGAAGUUCUUACAGAAUUAAUCCUCAAAGACUAUGGGUGGACUCUGCUGGGUUUUUCCCUGGGGGUACCAGAAGAGAUGCAGAGCCUGCAAAUACAGGAAGGUGCUCUUUUCAGUGGCAGUAGUUCUCCUGGACCCUGUGGCUGAGUAUACUCCCACCUCUGCAGUAAGAUCACAGCUGAUCUGGAGAGGCAAGAGCUCUCACCAAGCAACUGAAAGAGAAAGUGUCCUGUCUGGAUUGUGAGGGGAAUGGGGACACAUGACUGGAAAUGAAGUGGCAGGUCAUAAACUAUCAUAAACUCAGAAGGAGAGGAUUUCAUUUUUGAGACACUCAUCACAACUAGAGAGACUACAGCUGAGAAAAAUGCAAUCUUUAGGGGAACUUGGAUUCUUGAGGUAUUUGAGCUUCUUCGGAGGAAAUAGAAACUCGAAAGAGAUCUUUGUUCCAUGAUUCUUUGGUAGCCUCUGACCACCAGCCGCCAUUACUCCAGAUUCUCUUUGAGGAUCCUGCAUCAGGAGAAUGAGUUGACUGGACACCUCUGGGAACUGUGGGCAGCUCCAGGCUGAACUAGAGAAGGGGCAUGUCAAAGGCCACUUAUUUGUGGCCUGGCCCUUUGAAGGCCAGAUGUAAGAACCAGUUUCUCACAGGUCCCAUGUGAAAUGCUUUUCAUAUUUAUUUCCGUCUGAGACUCACUUAGGCUAGGCAAAUAUCCCAUGGGUCUCUGUCUCUCCAGUGCUUUCUUGUUUCUGUGAAAUAAGCUCUUUGGAAUGAAUAAAGAGAGUGGUAUCACUUCGGCUUGAACACUAAUGAACAUUUUCACUUUGUCAUAGUGUAAAUAUUAAAGUUAUAAGAGACAGCCCAGGGACCAACUAAUUUUUUUUAAAGACCCAAAGUGCUUGCAUAGUUUCUAAAAUUCUACACUGAGGAACUAUAUCCUCAUUCAGCACUGAGACUCCUUGGUUCUCUGAAACCAAAGUCUCCAGGUGGCUCCAGGAGCCAACCAGGAUGGAGCUCCUUAUAGCUCCAUGCAGUGUCAGAACUGGGAAACUUAGAAAUCUUUCAGUCCACCCAUCAUUUUAUGGGUGGUAGACUGAGAUCCAGAGACUACUCAACUCUCCUAAUUAACUAUGAAGGGUUAUGAUUAAAAUGCAAAUCUGAGGCCCUCCAAUUCGGUCCUCUUCUCACUCUACUUCUUCUGGGGCUUUCCCAGCAAGUGAUUCCUUGAUUGGUAGAGCAGAAAAUAACUUCAGUUUUUAGGAUGACUUUAUUCCCCUAAAGAGCAUCUUUGCCACAUCUUCUCCUUGUCCAUCUCUAGGGGCUCUACAGUGUUUACCUACUGGUAGAUUUGUACCAGAUGUGCUGGUACAAAUUAUAGAAAUAUUUGCAAUUAUUCCAUUUUAUUCUGAAUUUGUUGAUACAGCGUUUCUUCUGUUUUAUUGGCCAUUUUUAAGGAAGAAGGAACCCAAGAUUAAUUGCUAUAGCUAUAUGUCAUGCUUGCCUUUGAACUCAACUCAUUGUAAUCCUUGUGACCUAUUAUAGUAGACAUGCUUGGUGUAACAGGUAUUCAGGAUUACUGAAUCCACUUGAGUUUUUUUGAGGACAGUGGCCAAAUAUAAUUUACAAUUCUGUGGUUGAGUUAGGCUGCUCCUUCUUUUCCCCAGUGUUAGGCAUUUUCUUUUACUAGGUCCUCUGGAAGGAUUUAGAAACAAGGCAUUAUUGUACUUUUGAAUAAAAAUGGUUUGUCAAACAGAUUACGUUUGUAGUUUGUGUUGUUGAACAAAAAUAAUCAAGAACUCUACUUGAAGUCUGAAACAAAUUCGGAAAAAAAUUAAAGGUACUUUUAUUUUACAUAGUAGGGAGUAGAUUUUAGGAACGCCUUACUCCUGGGGUAGAGCACAUGAAUAUGUGUUCUAGAGAGAUUUAGACAAAUUUACUUACAUUAAGCAAAUGACUUUAAGGGAAACUAGGAAUGUUUUCAGGGCACAUAACCUUGUAGUUAAAAGAUACUCUUAUUAGAUCAUUUUUUCUAAUUAUAAAAAUGUGUUCUCAUUGAAGAAGAAAUUGUGGUUUACAUCUAAUUAUAAAAAGAA
Molecule: non-coding RNA, 2476 nt
Organism: Saimiri boliviensis boliviensis (Bolivian squirrel monkey)
Lineage: Eukaryota; Metazoa; Chordata; Mammalia; Primates; Cebidae
Source: RefSeq, a predicted model, not a curated record